UUCUAUGGCAACAUCAAAUUCUCACUCUAACAUACACUUAUGAACAAUAAAUAUUUAUACCGAUUAUGUCAAUUUACCCGGUUUUACUUAAAAUCACUUAGUAAAAGUUGUUUAUCAUAAAUUCUAGCUUCAUAUUCUACCAUAAAACAGCAAAAUAAACACAUUUCACCUCUGGGUAUUUUUCCAAAUAUGCACCCUACCGUGAAUUAAUGGUAGAAUAAGCUAAACCGAGCUACGAGGAUUUCAAAAAUGCGAAGAACAUUAAAAACGGGGCUAAGAUGCACUUACUAUGAGCUUGGAAGCUUGAACAAACCCCAUCUAUGGCUCCCUGACACAUUCGGCAGCCC
RNAcentral lists this long non-coding RNA (347 nucleotides) under Gossypium raimondii (Peruvian cotton). Its description in RNAcentral is "long non-coding RNA (GRAI_LNC006664)". Lineage: Eukaryota; Viridiplantae; Streptophyta; Magnoliopsida; Malvales; Malvaceae. The record is from RNAcentral.